GGGAGGGGCCGGGGUCAGGAGCCCGGGGGACCCCAGGUCCCGGGGCCGGUGGGCCGGGCCUCCUUGGGGCCGCUCCGCGCGCCAGCCCCCCCAGACCAGAGCCAGCGGCAGCCGACCCGCAGAUUCCUCAUUAGCCAAAGGAGCUCCUUAGAGGGGACAGUUCGCCGCCGCUGUGGGGAGUCUUCUCUCCUGUAAGGACACCAAAGAGGAACGGAGCACACGCUGGAGGCAGGCAGUGUCGGCAGAGAGGAGUCUCACACCCAUGCGGGGCAGCAGCGGCCGGGCAGCAGGGGCACCCAGCAGGUGCCACGGGGGCCAUCACCCACACUGCUCCUGUGAGCAUCGAAUAAGAUGCCUCCUGAUGGACAUGCACCCUCACCUUUCUCGGGUACAUUCUGGGACUGCAGUUGCCGGAUCACAGCACUUGUACGCUUGACUUCAUUAGAAAAUGCCGAUCAAUUUUCCAAAGAGAGUUUAACAUUUCCUGCAGCAGGUAUGACAGUUCCAGCUGGACCACAUUUUGGCCAACAGUUCUUAUUAUCAAUCCCUUGGUUUUGGGUGUGAAAUGGUACCCUACUGUGGUUUAAUUUGCAUUUUCCUCAUUGCUAAAGAAGUUGUGAACAUUUCACAUGCUUCUUAGCCGUUUGGAUUUCUUCUUUAACACAGUUAAACAUAGUUCAAGUCUUUUGACAAUUUUAACAGUGUUCUUUUUGUUUUACCUAUUGAUUUGGCAUUGUUCUUUGCAUAUUCUGGAUAUGAGUUUUUUAUUAGAUCUACUGUUGGGGCGCCUGGGUGGCCUCGGUCGUUUAAGUGGCCAACUCUUAAUUUCAGCUCAGGUCAUGAUCCCACGGUUCAUGGUGUUGAGCCCUGUGUCGGGCUCUGCACUGGCAGCUGGCAGCGCAGAACCUGCUUAGGAUUCUCUCUUUCUCUCUCUGCCCCUACCCCCGUCAGAAUAAAUAAAUAAACUUAAAAAGAAAGAUAUAUCUACUGUGAAUAUUUUCCCCAGUCUAUAGAUGUCUUUUAAACUUGCUUUUGAUGAGUGAGAGUUUUAAAUUUUGAUAAAGAAAGAGAGAAAGGAAACAAAACAAGAAAGAAGAAAGAAAGAAAGAAAGAAAGAAAGAAAGAAAGAAAGAAAAGAAAGAAAGAAAGAAAGAAAGAAAGAAAAAAGUAAACGAAGGAAGGAAGGAAGGUAUAAAGAUUGGUAAGAAAGAAAUGAAGCUUUCUUUGUUUGCAGAUUACAUGAUUGCCUAUGUAGCAAAUCUGAAAUAGUUGCCAAAAAAUUCUGGAUUUAAUAAGCAAUUAUAACAAGAUUACAGGAUACAAGGUCAGUAUACAAAAGUCAAUCACUUACCUCUAUACCAGCAAUGAACAAGUGGAGUUUGAAAUAAAAAAACAUAAUAUCAGUUACAUUAGAACCCCCAAAUGAAAUACUUAGGUAUACACUUAACAAAGUUCAUGUGUAAGAUCUGCAUGAGAAAAACUAUAAAACUCUGAUGAAAGGUAAUCAAAGAACUAAAUAAAUGGGGAGAUAGUCCAUGUUGAUGAAACGGAAUUCACAACAUCAGCAUGUCGGUUUUCCCCAGCUGUCUCUAUAGAUUGAAUGCAAUCCCGAUCAAAGUUCCAGCAAGUUUUUGUGCAGAGAUUGGCAAGCUGAUUCUAACAUUUAUAUGUACAGGCAAAAGACCCCAUAGCCAAUACACUAUUAAGGGAGAAGAACAAAGUUUGAGGACUGGCAGUGUCCAACGUCAAGACCUACUGUAAAGCUACAGUAAUCAAGACUGUGUGGUAUUAGCAGAAGAAUGGACAAAUAGAUCAAUGGGACAGAAUACAGAGCCCAGAAAUAGACCCCAUAAAUAUGUGCAGCAGAUUAGCAUAAUGAAAAGAUGCUCCACAUCACAUGUCAUUAGGGAAUUAUAAAUUAAAACAAAGAAAAACAACAGUGAGAUUCCAGGGCACACCUGUUGGAACAGCCAGAGCCUGACGCUGACAACGGCCGUGCUGAUGAGGACACAGGACUGUCAUUCACUGCUGGCGGGAAAGGUGCAGCCGCUUUGGAGGACGGUUUGGCAGUCACAACACUAAACAUACUCUCACCAUACGCCCCAGCAACCAUGCUCCUUGAUUUCGACCCAAAUGGGCUGAAAACAUGUCCACACAAUAAUCUGCAUGCGCAUGUUUAUAGCAGCUUUAUUCAUAAUUGCAAAACCCUGGAAACAACUAAGACAUCCUUCAGUAGAUGAAUGGAUAAACAGAUUGUGGUACACUGGAGGAAACUUACUUAUUGCUAAGUGAAAGAAACCAGUCUGAAAGGCUACGUAGUAUAUAAUUUCAAGUAUGUGACAUUCUAGAAAAGGCAAAACUGUAGACAAUAAAAAGGCCGAUGGUUGCUGAGAGUUAGUGGGCAGGAAAGAAGCUGUUUAGGGCAGUAUCAGUAUGAUUCUAUAAUGGUGGACACAUGCCAUACACUUGCCAAAACCAUAGAAUGUCCAACACCAAGAGUGAACCCCAACAUAAACCAUGGACGUUGGGCGAUCAUGCUGUCAAUGUAGGUUCACUCACUGAUUAUAGCAAAGGCACCACUCUGGUGCAGAAUUUGGAUAGUGGGAGGCUGCGUGCAGGUGCAGGGCAGAGGGUAUCUGAGAACUUUCUGUACUUUGUGCUCAGUUUUGCUAUGAACCUAAAACUGCUCUGAAAGUGAAAUCUCCCCCCAUCAAGUUUUUAAUUUCUUCCAAAAUAAUGCUGAAAUUUUGACUGAGAUGACAUUAAAUCCAUAGAUUAGUUUGGAGAACAUGGACAGCUUAACAAUAUUGAGUCGCCCAAUCCCAGAAUAUAAUGUAUACCCAAAGUGUUGGGUCUACUUUAUUUAUUUUGUAAUUUUUUUAAUGUUUACUUAUUUUUGACAGAGCAUGCCUGUGGGGGGAGGGGCAGAGAGAGAGGGA
Long non-coding RNA from Felis catus (domestic cat), 2939 nucleotides. RefSeq lists it as uncharacterized. The transcript is spliced from 3 exons. The record is from RefSeq and is a predicted model, not a curated record. Lineage: Eukaryota; Metazoa; Chordata; Mammalia; Carnivora; Felidae.